AAAACGGCCCUUUUGAGGGCCACAUCCUAUUAGAAUCCAUUUCGGGU
Non-coding RNA from Macrostomum lignano, 47 nucleotides. NCBI's taxonomy places the organism in Eukaryota, Metazoa, Platyhelminthes, Macrostomidae. The record is from Rfam.